CUUCAGAGAGCCGAGCAACAGGGGCUGUCCGGCGGGCCGGUCCUGGCCGUACGUGUCGAUCAGCGCCUGCGCCUC
This 75-nucleotide antisense RNA is filed under the name Streptomyces sp. AS41. RNAcentral describes it as "Streptomyces sp. SLBN-118 ASpks TB sRNA". It matches the Rfam family "ASpks TB sRNA". Lineage: Bacteria; Bacillati; Actinomycetota; Actinomycetes; Kitasatosporales; Streptomycetaceae. RNAcentral also lists the same sequence under 1 other name. The record is from RNAcentral.